RNAcentral lists this long non-coding RNA (406 nucleotides) under Equus caballus (horse). RNAcentral's name for it is "lncRNA (ENSECAG00000032058.2)". The record is from RNAcentral. Lineage: Eukaryota; Metazoa; Chordata; Mammalia; Perissodactyla; Equidae.
AGAACUUUUUGUAUCAUUUUGCAAAUGUUGAAGUCCGGUUUUAAAACAAGUUGUUCUGCACUGGAGGGCCAUGGCUGACUUUCCCAGGCUUGCCAGGACCGCUGUGGGAUGCCAUCGUGGAGGUCACUGGGCCAGAGGAGUGAGCCUCCAGAAGUUGCGUUAUCCAGCAUUGUCCCCUAAAUCCCACGGUCAUGCAGUUUACGUUCAUCUCCGCUUUACACGGGUGAUAUUAACUGAAGACUCUGAGUGGAGAAGAUUGGGUCUGCAGGCUGAGAUGGAGAUCUCCUGGGCAGGAGUGGGAGACCUGAGUUCUUGUCCUGAUCCUGGCGGGAACCAGUCCCCUCUGUUCCACCAAGCGAGAGCCUCAAGUCCUGCUCUGCCCACGCGGGAGGAUGUUCUGUCAGAG